GGAGGAUCCGAGCGUUAUCCGGAUUUAUUGGGUUUAAAGGGAGCGUAGGUGGACUGGUAAGUCAGUUGUGAAAGUUUGCGGCUCAACCGUAAAAUUGCAGUUGAUACUGUCAGUCUUGAGUACAGUANAGGUGGGCGGAAUUCGUGGUGUAGCGGUGAAAUGCUUAGAUAUCACGAAGAACUCCGAUUGCGAAGGCAGCUCACUGGACUGCAACUGACACUGAUGCUCGAAAGUGUGGGUAUCAAACAGGAUUAGAUACCCUGGUAGUCCACACAGUAAACGAUGAAUACUCGCUGUUUGCGAUAUACAGUAAGCGGCCAAGCGAAAGCAUUAAGUAUUCCACCUGGGGAGU
RNAcentral lists this ribosomal RNA (352 nucleotides) under uncultured bacterium. RNAcentral describes it as "bacterial SSU rRNA". It matches the Rfam family "Bacterial small subunit ribosomal RNA", at positions 527 to 881 of the family's 1533-position model. The record is from RNAcentral.